ACAACUGUAGAGUGGCAGUCCCACUGAAGAUACGAGAAGGUGGGCGCGGUCAGCCAAUUGCAACUAAAACCCGCCUCGGCUGGUCUUUGCAGGGCGGUGGAAAAAUUUCCGGAUCAUCCGGUUCAUUAAAUAUUCAUACGUGUGAGUGCGAAAAACGCUACAAAGUGCUACACGAUGAAGUGAAGGAGUAUUUCGCCCUGGAAGUGUCUCAAGAGAAGAAAAUUUUAUCAGCCGAUGAUGAAAAGGCCAUGAAGGUUCUCCAAAGUACAGCUGUAAAAAUAGAUCAACGGUUCGAAGUCGGUUUGCUCUGGAAGAACGAACCGGUGCAAUUGCCCGAAAGUUACGAAGUCGCAUAUAAUCGCCUAAAGUGUCUUCAAAGAAAGUUCAAUAAGAACCCCCAGUUACAGCAAACAAUGCAAGGGGAAAUUGACAAACUAAUUUCUAAGGGCUAUGCGCGCAAGGUGUUGGAUUCAGAAAUGUUUUCGUUUAAGGGCCGGACAUGGUAUCUUCCAGUCUUCGUUGCUCUCAAUUCGAACAAACCCGGUAAAGUGCGCCUAGUCUGGGACGCGGCGGCAAAGUCACAUAACAAGUCUCUUGACGCCACUCUUUAAUAUUCUAAUUGAGUUUCGCGUAGGGAAAAUAGCGAUUUGCGGCGACAUAGCCGAAAUGUUUCACCGCAUAAAUGUAAGAGAUGAAGACAUUCACGCUCAGCGAUUUUCGUGGUUCGAAAACGAGGGCGGUAAAUAUAAGCCGUGUGCGUAUGUUAUGAAGGCCCUAACCUUUGGCAUAAGCUGUGCGCCCUGCAUCGCUCAUUUCGUCCGUAACAAGAAUGCAGAAGAAUUUCGUAGUGUGUAUCCACGCCGUGAAAUCAGUGGAGAGCUAUCACUAUAUGGACGACUUUAUCGAUAGUGUGGACAUCGAAGCAGAGGCGAUUGAAUUGGCAAUGACAGUUAAAAGAAUCCACGCUUCUGGCGGCUUUCAUAUGAGAAAUCGGCAACAAACUCCCCUCUUGUAAGACAAGAAUUGUGCGAUGAUGGAUCUCCAGCGGAAAAGUUGUUUGGAGCUACAGAAAAAAUUCUCGGUAUGUUUUGGGAAUCCAAUAAUGACGUUUUUUAGUACAAUUACAGAUUCUCGAGGCUCAGAAGAGAUGUUUUCCAAACGAACGUGGUCCCUACCAAAAGAGAAGUUCUGCAAGGGCUAAUGUCCAUAUUCGACCCGCUUGGACUUGUAUCGGACUUAACGAUUGGUCUUAAAAUUUUAGUGCAAGACAUUUGGCGCUCAGGAAUAAAGUGGGAUGACGAACUCAGCGGGGAGCUACGCGUAAAAUGGCGUUCACGGCUUUCGAAUCGGCAUAAAAUAUCGUCUACCGUCAUCCCCAGAUGCUAUUCUAGGCUGCUAAAAAUGGCGUCGACCGUCCAGUUGCAUAAGUUUGUUGACGCAGGCGAAAAUGCGUACGCUGCGGUAUGCUAUUUUCGAAUUCAAUAUAAUAGCGACGUCGAUGUUUCAAUUGUAGCAGUUAAGUCCAAGGUGACCCCUAUAAAGCCGAUAUCAAUCCCUCGAUUAGAGUUGCAAGCGGCGUUAAUUGGUACGUGCUUGGCCGCGAAAAUUAGAAACGCGACAAGACUUCAUUGUAUCGAUAGCUUCUUCUGGUCCGAUUCCAAGACCGUGUUAAAAUGGUUGUCCAUGGAUCCGAAAAACUUCAAGGCGUUCGUGAUGCAUAGAGUUGGCGAAAUACUGGAGUCAACUAACGCUACUCAAUGGAAUUGGGUCCCAUCCAAGAUGAAUCCAGCCGACCAUUCGACAAAGAUUGGCACAACAACAGAUGACAACAUGUGGACGAGAGGACCUGAAUUUCUGAAAUUCGAGACAUUUGAAUGGACAAAAUGUUUACACUUGGAGAGCGCCGAUGACGAAGAAGUACGUAAUCGGCUGUUACACAUCUGCUCGCCGAAAUGUUUCUCUAUGUUUCUAUUAUAUAUGGAAAAGUUAGAGGCCGCGACCCAUAGCAGCAAAGCACCAGAAAACAUCCAAUUCGAAUGCAUCCAGAAAUCUAAAAACAUCUUAUUCAAAUACGCCCAACUGAGCGAGUUUGCUGAGGAGAUUUGGUGUCUAAAAAAUUGUAAACAGAUCCACAAAAGUAGUAAGCUAAAGCAAUUUAAUAUGUUCCUGGAUGAAAAUGGCGUCAUACGAGCUUGCGGCAGGGCGAGCACGCUAAAUUGUAAUCAGGCAAUAAUUUUACCUCACAGCCAUUAUAUUGCAUUCCUUGUGGUUCGAUAUUAUCAUAAAAAUGGUCACCAUUGUUUGCAUGAAGCAGUGAUUUGUAAAAUUAAAUCAUAUUUUUACAUCCCUAGAUUAAGGGCUCUCUACAAAGGCGUCCGAAGCAGAUGCCAGUACUGUAAGGACGAUGCAGCAGUGCCCCAUUCCCCACAAAUGGCUUCUUUACCGCCAGCAAGACUGUCGAGUUUUGAACGUCCAUUUACGUACGUUGGUAUCGAUUUUUUUGGCCCUCUGUAUGCAACCGUUGGCAGACGUAAGGCAAAAAGAUGGGGUGUUUUGUUUACGUGCCUGACUGUGCGGGCAAUACAUAUUGAAGUGGCUCACAGUCUUGAUACCAGUUCGUGCAUUAUGUGUAUCCCCAACUUCAUCAGUCGACGUGGCUCACCGAGAGAAAUAUACACUGAUAACGGAACCAAUUUUAAGUCUGUGGAAAAAAUUCUUCGUGAAGAAAAUCUAAACUUACGCCAAGUCUCCUCUAAGUGCGACGAUAUUAAAUGGCGGUUUAAUCCUCCAGCGGCCCCGCAUAUGGGCGGAGCAUGGGAGCGUUUAAUACGAACGGGGAAAUCAAUACUCUAUGCUAUGUGUCCCGCCUUUAAGUUUAAGGAUGAGACUUUAAGAUGUGCCCUAUGGGAAAUUGAGUUCAUUAUUAAUUCUCGCCCAUUGACAUUUGUGAGCUUGGAAUCAUGUGAAGACGACCCGCUAACACCGAAUCAUCUUUUACUAGGUGCUAAGCCUCUAGUGGAGCAUGAUCACGAUCUCUGACAUCGGUGGCAUCAAACCCAAAAGUUUGCUAAUCAUUUUUGGCGACGAUGGGUACGCGAAUAUUGUCCGAGUCUGGUGCGACGUAGCAAGUGGUUCGAGAAGGUGAAGCCGCCAUCUGUCGGAGAUAUAGUCAUACUAGUUGACGAAACGCUACCCCGUAAUAGCUGGCACAAGGGAGUCGUCACCGAAACAAUCACUGCCAAGGAUGGUCAAGUACGCCGUGUCAUGGUCAAAACCAGUACCAGUUUGUUUGAGAGGCCCGCCACCAAAAUAGCUGUAUAAGACGUCGGAAUUGCUCAAGACGGCAAGCUCAUGAAUCCCUAACUCGCUUGCAAGUCGCUACUAAGCACUGUAUAACACUCCUCUCUACCGAUGUUUGGAUAAAGAAAUGUGUUCGCCCUCUUAUAUAUAUCCGACAAGAACAUUCCAGAAUUUACUGGAAAAGAUUUCCCAUUACUUCUACCUCUGACGACAAUGCAUAUGUAUAUGUAUACGUGCAAUUAUAGCGUAAUUCCUUAGAAAAGCGAAAAAACAUCUUUCAUACAACGCCCUAAAAAGUUUUCAGGAUAAGCUGUUGUGAGUGAUCACGAAUGGAGCACCCGCAUCGUUUAUCUCAUUUAUGGAAAUUCCAACUAAACCACACAGCUCCACACUUAGCGAAAUGCAGUUUGAAGAAAAAUUCACUACCUGCUACAACGGAUGAGAGAAACAAAAAGAUGACAACAGCAUUUGCACAACACUUGACGAAGCACGAACACUUUGCGGACUUUGGGAAUACGAGAAUUUUGGACAUCGAAAGAGGGGUAAAAAGGAGAAUGACAUUAGAAAGCCUACGUAUACAACAACAAAUAGACAAUGCGAUCAACUUUAAAGAGGACGUGGAUAACACCAACAAAGUGUAUGCAGCUGUAAUCAAUAACAAAUAUAAAUAAGAAUAUAGGAUUGGAAUUUGGUAAUAUUGUGAAAAGAUACUUAAAAUGGUGCUAACGUUUAUCGUUUGAUAAAAAAAUUUUGUCAAUAAUAUUUAUGUAAAUGUGAGUUCAAAGUCAGAAUUAGUGUAAAGUAAUUGUCGCUAACAAUGUUUAUUGUUCUUGCAUCAGCGAAUUUUACUUGCUAAUCAUGCUUAUUUGGUUAUUUGUUUUUAUUUUUCGAAUAAAGACUCCCUGAUGAAGACGCGGGAGCGUUGAAACGCGUAGGAGGGUAAAAGGAAAAUUAAAAAAAAAAUUGCUUUUUUAACUCUAUCGGCCGAAGCAGCUCCAACUCAGCAAACAUAACAAAUAAGAAUUUGGCCCAAAUAUUUAUAAUUAAAUAAAUUUCAAUUUCAAAAAGGCAUUCCAAAAGCA
Rhagoletis zephyria (snowberry fruit fly) is the source of this 4382-nucleotide RNA transcript. RefSeq lists it as uncharacterized. NCBI's taxonomy places the organism in Eukaryota, Metazoa, Arthropoda, Insecta, Diptera, Tephritidae. The record is from RefSeq and is a predicted model, not a curated record.